ACUCAAAGGAAUUGACGGGGGCUCACACAAGCGGUGGAGGAUGUGGUUUAAUUCGAAGCAACGCGAAGAACCUUACCAGGUCUUGACAUUCCGGGAUUAGUUCGGUGAAAGCCGAAUGAUUGCCCUCAAAGCGUAACCGGAACAGGUGCUGCAUGGCUGUCGUCAGCUCGUGCCGUGAGGUGUUAGGUUAAGUCCUUUAACGAGCGAAACCCCUACGAUUAGUUACCAACGGAUAAUGCCGGGGACUCUAGUCGGACUGCCGCGAAAGUAGGAGGAAGGUGGGGACGACGUCAAGUCAUCAUGGCCUUUAUGAUCUGGGCUACACACGUCCUACAAUGGGUUGUACAAUGGGUAGCAAAGUCGCGAGACCAAGCCAAUCCCCAAAAGCAAUCCUCAGUUCAGAUUGUGGGCUGCAAUUCGCCCACAUGAAGCUGGAAUCGCUAGUAAUCGCGGAUCAGCUACGCCGCGGUGAAUAUGUUCCUGAGCCUUGUACACACCGCCCGU
RNAcentral lists this ribosomal RNA (504 nucleotides) under uncultured bacterium. RNAcentral's name for it is "partial 16S ribosomal RNA". It matches the Rfam family "Bacterial small subunit ribosomal RNA", at positions 899 to 1397 of the family's 1533-position model. The record is from RNAcentral.